UUCCGUAGGUGAACCUGCGGAGGGAUCAUUACCGAGUUUACAACUCCCAAACCCAAUGUGAACGUUACCAAACUGUUGCCUCGGCGGGGUCACGCCCCGGGUGCGUCGCAGCCCCGGAACCAGGCGCCCGCCGGAGGAACCAACCAAACUCUUUCUGUAGUCCCCUCGCGGACGUAUUUCUUACAGCUCUGAGCAAAAAUUCAAAAUGAAUCAAAACUUUCAACAACGGAUCUCUUGGUUCUGGCAUCGAUGAAGAACGCAGCGAAAUGCGAUAAGUAAUGUGAAUUGCAGAAUUCAGUGAAUCAUCGAAUCUUUGAACGCACAUUGCGCCCGCCAGUAUUCUGGCGGGCAUGCCUGUCCGAGCGUCAUUUCAACCCUCGAACCCCUCCGGGGGAUCGGCGUUGGGGAUCGGGACCCCUCACACGGGUGCCGGCCCCGAAAUACAGUGGCGGUCUCGCCGCAGCCUCUCCUGCGCAGUAGUUUGCACAACUCGCACCGGGAGCGCGGCGCGUCCACGUCCGUAAAACACCCAACUUUCUGAAAUGUUGACCUCGGAUCAGGUAGGAAUACCCGCUGAACUUAAGCAUAUCAAUAAGCGGAG
RNAcentral lists this ribosomal RNA (601 nucleotides) under Trichoderma asperellum. RNAcentral describes it as "eukaryotic LSU rRNA". The stretch from base 215 to 368 matches the Rfam family "5.8S ribosomal RNA". The record is from RNAcentral. Lineage: Eukaryota; Fungi; Ascomycota; Sordariomycetes; Hypocreales; Hypocreaceae.